GGCCUUGCUCAGUCACUGAUUUAUCUCCAUUGCAGAUUGCUUGGGUAGCUGCAAGCCCUUGCUCGGGCACUGGUUUAUCUCCAUUGGAGUUUGCUUGGGUAGCUGCAAGCCCUUGCUCAGGCACUGGUUUAUCUCCAUUGGAGUUUGCUUGGAUAGUAGCAAGCCCCCGCUCAGGCACUGGUUUAUCUCCAUUGGAGUUUGCUUGGAUAGCAGCAAGCCCUCGCUCAGGCACUGGUUUAUCUCCAUUGGAGUUUGCUUGGAUAGCUGCAAGCUCUUGCUCAGGCAGUGCAGAACUGCUAGAGUCUAGCACGC
RNAcentral lists this long non-coding RNA (312 nucleotides) under Setaria italica (foxtail millet). Its description in RNAcentral is "long non-coding RNA (SITA_LNC001652)". Lineage: Eukaryota; Viridiplantae; Streptophyta; Magnoliopsida; Poales; Poaceae. The record is from RNAcentral.